Long non-coding RNA from Drosophila navojoa, 510 nucleotides. NCBI's taxonomy places the organism in Eukaryota, Metazoa, Arthropoda, Insecta, Diptera, Drosophilidae. The record is from RefSeq and is a predicted model, not a curated record.
GUUUCAAUGUGCUGUGCAAUUGUUAUAUAUUUGCGGUAUGUGAAAACCGUCGCAUAAGUACGCGUUCUCAAGUACAUGCAACCUAUAAAGUUCUUUAAAAUGUGAUGAGAGAUCAGGCUCUAUCUUUGUGGAUGUAGAUCCUCUUUCAAUGGCAGGCAAGGAGCGUAACCAAGCAGUAUUAAAUAUAAAAUUGUACUAAACUAAGAUGUAUACAACAACCUGUUAAACCUGCUAAUAAGCCGAAUUGUAGUACUCAGCAGACGCCUGCGGAAAAUAGUUUGUUAUAAAGCUGUCAAAUCAGUAGGCAAGCGAAUAACAAUAUAGUUGCCAUGCUGACAUCGUUUAUAUGCAACAGCCAACUAAUUCUUUGGAAAAAUUUUAAAAUGAAUAUUGCAUUAUUAGUGACGUUUUCCUUAAUAUGCUCAUCGCAAUCAAUAUUAGUGGAUGAAGAAGUCGGCAGUGCUGUGAUCUUGAAUAACACGAGCUACCGAACAAGUGGAAAAUCAAUUU